Molecule: RNA transcript, 1251 nt
Organism: Pterocles gutturalis (yellow-throated sandgrouse)
Lineage: Eukaryota; Metazoa; Chordata; Aves; Pterocliformes; Pteroclidae
Gene name: potassium voltage-gated channel subfamily V member 2 pseudogene
Exons: 1
Source: RefSeq, a predicted model, not a curated record
AUGAGGCAGCUGGGGACAAGGCGUGCGAGUCUCUCUGCCAGCCUGAAGACAGGGGAUCGCUGGGGCUGCUGCCGAACACCGGAGGAAGAGGAAGCUCACAUCCCGUUUGCGCAGGACAGCCUGGUAAAGCAAUGGAGCUCUCUGCAGAACGUGACAGACAGAAACCAGGAGAAAAGCAAGACUCCCAUCCAAAGGAACAAGUACUUGCUCAACAUUAACGUGGGUGGCAAAUUGUUCUACAUAGCUUACAAUGCAGUGGCCCGGUAUCCCAUCACCAGGCUGGGGAAGCUGGCCCUGUAUACAGACCCUAUGAAGAAGAUGCAGCUCUGCGAUGACUACUCAGUGCAGAAGAACGAGUACUUCUUUGACAGAGAUCCUUCGAUUUUUUACUACAUCUUCCACUUCUACCGCAGCGGUGUCCUGUGGAUAAUGGAUGAGGUGUGCCCCAGUAACUUCGUGGAGGAAAUCGAGUACUGGGGAAUCCAUCUGAAAUACUCCCAGCGCUGUUGCCGGAUCCUGUUUGAGGAAAAGCAAGAUGAGCUCAGCGAGUACCUGAAAAUACAGAAGGAGCUGGAGGCAGAGCUGGAGCCCCUGGACUCAGCAGAGCAUUUUGAGGGCAAAUUUCUGGGACGGUUUCGGAAGAUGAUCUGGAACCUCAUUGAGAACCCAUACUCUUCUGUCCCAGCCAAGAUCAUUGCUGUCAUGUCAAGCUUCUUUGUGCUUAUCUCCAUCGUGGGCAUGACGCUGAGCACAGUGGAGGAGAUGAAACACAAGACGGGGAAGAUGUGGAUGGAGCAGCUGGAGAUGAUCUGUGCCAUCUUCUUCACCUCCGAAUACCUCAUGCGGCUCAUAUCCUCCUCCAGCUUCAAGAACUUUUUGCGGGCAGCGUUUAAUGCUGUAGACCUGGUGGCCAUCCUGCCCUUCUACGUCCAGAUCCUCUUUGAAAAUCUGGAUGAAGGAGACACGCUUUACCAUGAAGAACUGCACAAAGUGGAGAAUGUGAGCAAGCUGGGCAAAGUCCUCAAGCUCAUCAAGCUCAUGAGGAUCUUCCGCAUCCUCAAGCUGGCACGUCACUCCACCGGCCUCCGGGCCUUCGGCUUCACCAUGCGCCAGUGCUACCAGCAGGUUUGCUGUCUCCUCCUCUUCAUCGCCAUGGGGGUCUUCACCUUCUCCGCUCUCAUGCACUCUGUGGAACAUGAUGUCCCAGGCACCAACUUCACCAGUAUCCCCUAUGCAUGGUGGUGGGCAGCG